AAGAAGAAGAGCGCUUGUUUUGUGCGUCCUGAGAACAAAGCAGCGGGCCACAAAGGGGAACUAACUACCCGCCAGGACGAGGCAGGUGCAGGAUCCAGGUGAGUGAAAGGCCACUUAGGAGUCACACACGCGCUUGAAUCAGGGAUGAAAAAAGAGGUUUGAACUCACUCAGGCGGCGCUCGGAGUUAUUAACGGGAGAUACUUCUUCUUCAUCAUCAUCAUCAUCAUCAGUUUUCCUGCCAUUCAUCUCCAUCUUUGACCUCAGCUUUCCUGGAACAGUUCCAUACUUCUUCUGCUCCGUGGGCAGCGUCUGGCAAAACAAAUACAAGGUGAUGAUUA
Molecule: long non-coding RNA, 339 nt
Organism: Nerophis ophidion (straightnose pipefish)
Lineage: Eukaryota; Metazoa; Chordata; Actinopteri; Syngnathiformes; Syngnathidae
Exons: 2
Source: RefSeq, a predicted model, not a curated record